Molecule: long non-coding RNA, 787 nt
Filed under: Mytilus galloprovincialis (Mediterranean mussel)
Lineage: Eukaryota; Metazoa; Mollusca; Bivalvia; Mytilida; Mytilidae
Source: RNAcentral
UGGGGAUGUUGACCGUUUACAAGUUUUCAAACAAGAGGGGGUGGGAUGACCCCCUCAGGACUUCCCUUUUAUCUCAUUUUUUCAUUUGUUUUAUUGUCCCCUACAAGAACAUAUAUGGUUUAGGGGUGGGGAUCUGGACCAUUUACAAGAUAAUAGUACAUUCUCAAAUUGAACGGGGUGGGGGUGACCCCAAGGAACUUCCAUUUAAUUUCAUUUGAUUAGUUUUAUUGUCCCUUACAAGAAUAUAUAUAGUUUAGGGGUGGGGAUGUUGACCGUUUACAAGUUUUCAAACAAGAGGGGGUGGGUGACCCCCUAGGGACUUUCCUUUUAUUUCAUUUCAUUUGUUUUAUUGUCCCCUACAAGAAUAUAUAUGGUUUAGGGGUGGGGAUCUGGACCAUUUACAAGAUAAUAGUACAUUCUCAAAUUGAACGGGGUGGGGUGACCCCCAGGAACUUCCAUUUAAUUUCAUUUGAUUAGUUUUUAUUGUCCCUUACAAGAAUAUAUAUGGUUUAGGGGUGGGGAUGUUGACCAUUUACAAGUUUUCAAACAAGAGGGGGUGGGGUGACCCCUAGGGACUUUCCUUUUAUUUCAUUUCAUUUGUUUUAUUGUCCCCUACAAAGAAUAUAUAUGGUUUAGGGGUGGGGAUCUGGACCGUUUACAAGAUAAUAGCACAUUCUCAAAUUGAACGGGGUGGGGAUGACCCCCGGGGACUUCCAUUUAAUUUCAUUUGAUUUGUUUUAUUGUCCCAUUCAAGAAUAUAUAUGGUUUAGGGGUGGGGAUCUGGACC